RNAcentral lists this ribosomal RNA (1444 nucleotides) under metagenome. RNAcentral's name for it is "bacterial LSU rRNA". It matches the Rfam family "Bacterial large subunit ribosomal RNA", at positions 1465 to 2925 of the family's 2925-position model. The record is from RNAcentral.
GGGGAUGACACAGUAGGAUAAGCUAACCGCACUGUUGGUUAUGUGCGGGCAAGUAUUGAGGCAGUUCUAAUAGGCAAAUCCGUUAGAAUAAUGCUGGGGUACGAUGCGGAGCGAAAUUUAGUAGCGAAGUAGCUGAUUUCACACUGUCGAGAAAAGUCUCUAUCGAGGUUAAAGGUGCCUGUACCGCAAACCGACACAGGUGGGUGAGGAGAGUAUCCUAAGGCCAGCGAGAGAACUGUUGUUAAGGAACUCGGCAAAAUGACCCCGUAACUUAGGGAGAAGGGGUGCCAUCGAAAGAUGGCCGCAGAGAAUAGGCCCAAGCGACUGUUUACCAAAAACAUAGGUUUCUGCUAAGUCGCAAGACGAUGUAUAGGAGCUGACGCCUGCCCGGUGCUGGAAGGUUAAGGGGAUCUGUUAGAGCAAUCGAAGCAGUGAACUUAAGCCCCAGUAAACGGCGGCCGUAACGAUAACGGUCCUAAGGUAGCGAAAUUCCUUGUCGGGUAAGUUCCGACCCGCACGAAGGGCGUAACGAUUUGGGCACUGUCUCAACAACAGACUCGGUGAAAUUGUAAUACCGGUGAAGAUGCCGGUUACCUGCGACAGGACGGAAAGACCCCAUGGAGCUUUACUGUAGCUUGACAUUGAGUCUCGGUGCUACAUGUACAGGAUAGGUGGGAGGCUAUGAAGCAUGGACGUCAGUCUGUGUGGAGCCAUCCUUGGGAUACCACCCUUGUAGUACUGGGAUUCUAACCAGCUGCCUUGAAUCAGGUAGUGGGACACUGUCAGGUGGACAGUUUGACUGGGGCGGUCGCCUCCUAAAAAGUAACGGAGGCGCUCAAAGGUUCUCUCAGCACGGUCGGAAAUCGUGCAUAGAGUGUAAAGGCAUAAGAGAGCUUGAUUGCAAGACAUACAGGUCGAGCAAGGACGAAAGUCGGACUUAGUGAUCCGGUGGUACCGUAUGGAAGGGCCAUCGCUCAACGGAUAAAAGCUACCCUGGGGAUAACAGGCUGAUCUCCCCCAAGAGUCCACAUCGACGGGGAGGUUUGGCACCUCGAUGUCGGCUCAUCACAUCCUGGGGCUGUAGUAGGUCCCAAGGGUUGGGCUGUUCGCCCAUUAAAGUGGUACGCGAGCUGGGUUCAGAACGUCGUGAGACAGUUCGGUCCCUAUCCGUCGCAGGCGUAGGAAAUUUGAGGAGACCUGUCCUAGUACGAGAGGACCGGGAUGGACGUACCGCUGGUGUACCAGUUGUUCUGCCAAGGGCAUGGCUGGGUAGCUAAGUACGGAAAGGAUAAGCGCUGAAAGCAUCUAAGCGCGAAGCCUACUUCAAGAUAAGAUUUCCCACCGCAAGGUUAAGAUCCCAGGAAGACUACCUGGUUGAUAGGUCAGAGGUGUAAGUGCAGUAAUGUAUUUAGCUUACUGAUACUAAUAGAUCGAGGACUUGACC